Oncorhynchus tshawytscha (Chinook salmon) is the source of this 5343-nucleotide long non-coding RNA. RefSeq lists it as uncharacterized. The record is from RefSeq and is a predicted model, not a curated record. The transcript has 3 exons. Lineage: Eukaryota; Metazoa; Chordata; Actinopteri; Salmoniformes; Salmonidae.
ACUCAUUGUCCUCCUCAUCAUCACGUUAGAUCAGGCUGCAUGGGCCCUACAGUAGUUGUCUCUCUGUCUCUCUCCCGCUCUCUCUCUCUCUGCAUUUCAAACAGUGGGCAACAGCUCUGCUUGUCCCCUGAAGAGUUGCAGGCCCCUUUCAUUACAUCUGAUUUCUCUGGGCAGAAUUCGCCCACAACUUUGGGUCGACCCUGUGCUCUGUCUCUCAUUGGAACUCUAAUGAGGGUGGUUUACUGUAGCUCACUGUGGUGAAACUUGGGUUGCUGCUGACAGGGAUUCAUUGUGCAGCAGGCCUGCCUGGUAACCUCCUCUCACAGCCCAUUUACUGAACCACUGAUAAACAGCAGCUGGAAACUACUGGCUUUCUCUUUGGCUUCUCUGAGAUUUAACAUACAUUUGAAUAUGUAUUUUGAUGCUCUUAGAAUGUCUAUGAUCAUUAGGUACAUUAACCUAUUCACAUUAUACAGCUGGAAACAACUAUUGUCAUGAGAGAGAGCACUUUACUGGCACUGAAGGAUUGGAUGGUAAGAGCACUCGUUAUGCCCUCCCCCCUUCUCUCUCUCUCCCUCCAGCCUCUGGCCAUGUUAAAUAUAAUGACUCCUCUUGAGUCUUCACCACACAUAAUGUAUGGGCAACUUCACAGUGCAAACACACUGUACUGACAGUAAUUAGGCUUACAAAUCAUCCAAUUAGUCCUACUUCCUACUCACAGUCCUCGAGUCAUUUCACUUUCUAUAGGAGGGAUACAUUGGUUGUGAUGGCAGCGGGAAAGCACCAUGUCUCAGUGGAAUUCCCCUUUAAUGAAUCACACGGUUACCCAGCUGAAAUUAUGUUUCUGUAGAUGUCAGACUAAUGUCUUCCCAUGUUGAUGUCCUUCUGAAUGCUAUAGUUUGGUAGUGUUUUACUGGGCCAGAGGUGAGCCUGUGGAGCUCUGUUCUAAAAAAAAAACUAUAUUUACUUGUCUAAUAUAGGUCAGCGUCUAGUGAUGAGACUUUGGUGUGGAGUGUGUGCGUGUGUGUGUGUGUGCGUGCGUGCGCAAGCGUGUGUGUCCCUGAUCCAGGAAGAGGGCUGAUUGUUGAGAAGCCCCAUUCACAUGCUGGUCCUCUCUAAGAGUCUGGCAAAGGUGAGGGGCCACUGGUGGAGAGGGAGUGAAAGAAACUUUGAAAGAAGGAUUGCCACACCAUGUGUGAAGGCUUGGGCACAGAGAGAAAGACCUGCCUGUCUCCCUCUUGAAUCAUUAUGUCCAGUCAUUCUGCAGGCACCCCCCAAGAAAUGAACAUGGAAAUUACCGUAACAAAGCAGGAUGAAUAGAUGUUGUACUGCUCUUAAGCCAGCAAUAUAUUUGCUGAGAAGUCUCAUAUUUAUUUUGGUUUAAUUUGGAUGGAGAGCUGUUUUGCCCUCUGGGACGGGCUGUGGUUUACACAACCAGGAUUAUAAAAUCAUAUUUCCCAAAUUUUUAAGACAGGAUAAAUAAAUGUGUUGGCAAUGCUGAUCAUGCUUUUCUAACGGACUCAAUAGAACAGAAACAAAAGCCAAUUACUGUUUUUUUAAAUGAAUUGAGAGGCAUUGGAACAUAGACAGGGUGAUGUCUGAUGGCAGUUCUAAUCUACAGAUGGCUGUAGUGCUUAGAAGUAGGAAUCAGUCAUAAUUAAAAGAUGUAUCAUGUUAUUCCACGCCUCGCAAUCUAAUCUUCACUGGUUAUUUACAUGUAGCUGUUGACUUGGGAGGGGGAUUACUUUUGUACUGAUUACUUUGGCACUGGGCAAAGGAGGCCUGUUCUUGUCAAUGUCAAAUGCAAUCGCUUUACCAUCUUAUAGAAAUCCUGCAAUUCUAUUAGGCAUAUUGUAAAUCCACUUUAUUUGUCCUCUCCAUCCAUUUGAAAUGGCCUAAAACACGAUGAAAAAGUCUCACAAUUUUACUCGUAUUAUCAUGUCAGCUGCCUUUGAAAGGACAUUAACACAGCAUUGCUUCAUUAUCUGUAAAAUAGGCCUAGCUCCUGUUUGCCAUUGUUGAUAUUUAGCAUUCUGGAUCUCUUUGUCGCAUUCUGAGAAAAUCCUCAUGUCAGUGAAGGGUCUCAGCUGCUCUCUAAGCCACAUUCAUUAGAAUGAUGAUGUUUGUUGUCAGCCUGACUAUUGGUUGUCAUUCCACCAGGUUCCUGUUGUUGCCAUGGAAGGUGACUUUCCAGUCUACUUUGAUUUAAGUUAGAGACUCAUUAACCCCCAGUUGAUGUCGUAUUUCACCAGCUGGCCACCUCCCCUUGUACUGUCACGUUCCUUGAUUAGCGUGUGGACACCAUAUGCCUAACACAGUUCACAGUCUGUUUCAUACACCUGUUCCACAUUUCUCAAUCUUACCCUGAUCAUAGCACAAAGUAUUCCGUGCCAUCAUGAAAGAGGCUUGGUGGAGAAAAUUGCUUUUUCGAUCUCACAGCCAUCUUUGAUUGAAAUUACCUCUAACUUUGACAAUUACAGUAUUUCAAUAUCCGCACAUUACUGUAAUAGCUUGAGCAUUCGCACUGUAUUAUUAUUAUUAUUCUAGUCUAUGUUAUGUAAUAGGGCUGGGAAUUGCCAGUGAUCUCACGAUACGAUUUCAUCACGAUACUUAGCCUAGGUGCCGAUACGAUGUGUAUUGUGAUUCUCUAUAUUCUAUAUGUAUGGUGAUUCGAUACUGCAAUUUUAUUGAUAUAUAUUGGGAUUCAAUGCUGCGAUUUCUAUUGCGAUUCAAUGUUCCAUACAUACUGCCCUGUCUGCUGCAGAGGGACAAGAUUAUUAUUCAUAUUUCCAUAUAAAAAUGUAAUAAAAAAUACAUAUUAUUUUCCCACCAUCACCAUUAUGUAAUGAAACCAGAAAUAUUCUAUCAUAUCUCCAUCAGCAUAUGCACACUUGAAUGUACACACACACAUAUCACAGUUUAGCACAGCCUAACUGCAGCUGGUCAGAAUGGAUGUCUUACCAGUUGAACAGCCCUAGAGAGCGACUCCUCUGUGGAAAUGGUCCAAUCAGGUAACUUAACAGUCAUACUGAUCCUUCCUCUUUGUCAAGAUUCCUCACUGUUCAGGUUCCCAGCAUGGCGUCUGUAUGUCCCCAGCCUGCAGCCUCUGAUGGACUGAGGGACCUGUUCCAUUGUAGCUGUGCUGAAGUCAGACAGUCAGGCAUACAACCUAAUUGGAAACUUAAUCACGUCUGCUGAUGGCUGCUGGUGGUGGGAACUGAAGUCCCAUAGGAGGAGAAAGUCUGGAAAUAUCAUUGGGCAUAUGAAGAUUGGCGGGACUGGUCCAGGUUGGCUUUCUUUGCCACUGUUCUGUGAGUGCUACGUGCACUACAUACCAGGCUGCCUGUGCCAGCAGCCGCUGAGAGGGAGCCAUCCGCCGUCACGCUGUGAGGAGAUAUGACCUAAAGAAAAUGUGUCAUUUGGUUUCUCCAUACUCAGAAAACGUGGGCUAGAAUGAAACAUGAAGUCAAAACAUAUUACAAAUGGAGAAAUCUGGACAGAAUAAAAAUCUGCAUGGGGAGACGGGAACAUAAUGUGUGGCUGGUAGAUUGGUCGGGAAAUGAAAUGCCUUGACGUAUUGUGAAGCCACUGUUCCCAUAAUGGGAGAGCUACAGAGGGGGAGAAAUGAACUGUACUGGACAGUGAAGGGCAUUUUCAAGAAGCCACAUGGGUAAAGAGAAAAUGGCACAGACAGAGCUACCAUCUUCAUUCACUCUGCAGAACAAUGACCUUUCUGUGUUCCAUGACUGUGAAUGUCUUUCAUGACACAAAGAAACAAAUCCUGUAGAAAUAGUCCAAAUAUCAUUGAUACCAGACCAAAUAGAUAUGGUGGAGCUCACAGAGUAGCUAACAAGCUUACACAGCAGCUGUCUGUGCAUCCCACACUAUAUAGUUUAAUGGUAUUGAUACCAACACCAAGGCAUGUUUGUAAAUAUAAUAUUCAGGGUUUAUCAGUACUGUUUAAUCCAUAACAAGGACUUGUGCUAACCACUCUCACAGAGCAGAAGCAGAACUAGUCUGGUGAUUGUCUGACUACACCUGUGGGGAUUUGACCCCUUUGAGAAAGCGACUUUACAUUGAUUAUACCGCUGUGAAGAUCAUCGCAGUCGCACAGAUCGUAAACCACUCAAACCAUCUACAUAUCCAAAAGCCAGAGCGAGACUUUCUUUUCUCUGCCUCAAGCCUCUUUUGAUUUCCCCAGCCUUUGUCUGUGUGAGAUGAUAGGAGGGUUUUCUCUCUCUCUCUCUCUCUCUCUCUCUCUAAAGAGCUCUGCAUCAGCAGUAAUCCCUAUGUGCCUGUAUGUGUUCAGACCUCCACAGAUUUUGGUCCAGGCUGCUGUGUCUUGCUAUGGCUUGCUGUUGUGCUGGGCUGGACACACUGUGCUGGGCUGUGUCUCUGUCCACUGGCAUGGGUAUUUGGUGCAUUCAGAGCCUGCUUUGCAGCCACCGAUUUGGCCCUGUCUGUGUCUUGCUAUGGCUUGCUGUUGUGCUGGGCUGUGUCUCUUGUCCACUGGCAUGGGGAUUUGGUGCAUUCAGAGCCUGCUUGGCAGCCACCAAUUUGGCCCUGUCGGUGUCUUGCUAACCGAAUGUCAAUUGCUCCCUCGUCCAUUGCAUACAUUUGACAGCCAUCCACUUGACUGGCUACAGCGUAACUGUGUGAUGUUUCCUGCGGGCUCGGCUUCCCGACUGAAACGCCAAGCCCUUUGUUUAUGUAGGGGUGACAGCCAAACACAUUAAACAUGUUUGUGAAGAAUACUGAGGAUUCAAGGACUUGUCUUGCAUUUGCUAUUUUGUAUGCAUGAAUUUUGUAUUAGUUUGUUGUAUAAGCAUAGACAUUGUUGGGGAUAUACAAUGGGUAGGCUAUGGUAUAUUUUGAUAACCUAGAAUUAGGUAUUUUACUAAUAUUCUACCAAAAAUGACAUAUUUGCCCCAAGUACUUAAAUCAAUCGUUUUUUUAUUAUCAAAUAAACAUAGUGAAUUAAUUCUAACCUCUCGUGCGCUUCCUCUUUUAAUAUGCACUUCUUUAAAAAUCUAUCUUAAAGAACAUCUUAACUGCAUUCAGUGCUGAUGCUGGUGUUACCACGGCAACCCUAAAUCCAUAAACUCCCCUGCACAGUUUUCUCCUGGCAGAGUGGUGCCAUUUUCCCUUCUCCCCUCCUCUCCAAGGCAUUCACGAUGCAACAUUUCUACUGUUUCUUUAAUAGGCAGCAGCACGUGACGGGGUGUUUGCCUCUUUCGUAACCACUGCUUUCACAAAUGCAUAUUCUUCCUGUCAGAAGGACUUAAAUCUAAUCAAAGACAACCUGUCGUUGGAAAGUUUCUACUGUGAAAAACACGUUUUAUU